AAUACAUUCAUGUGCCACCUCAUGUGACACUUCACUUAGAAGAUACUGUAAGCUUAGAAGAUACUAUUUUCAUGUGUUUACACAAGACAGUUUUGCCUACUAGCUCUCAGAUGGCUGGUUUCUUCUUUGUGUCCUAAUAGAGGUUUUCCAUGAACCACCAAGUGAAAAUGAUGGGAAUGGAAAUUCAGCCUCCAAUCAACUGUAAAACUUCACGAGCAUGAUCACUCUUCCCUCCUGAAAAUAUUGCGCAUGCCUAGAUUCAGGGCAGCAUGACACUGGGCUGGGUUAGAUUCUCCCCUUCUCUUAACCAUACAAGUGGACACAUUUUCCUUCAUGUUUUGGUUGGCAAGUGAUGUGGAAAUCUCACACACCCACUGCUUCUGAGCAAGCCUCCAGGAUAGGUUGCUGUUGCCGCUGGAAUUUAACUCUCAGUGGCCAGUACUAUGGAGAUACCUGAGGGACAGUAAUUCUUAACUUGACAUAAACUUUCCUCCAGUAGGGUGCUUGACAUUCUGGACCUUAUUAAAUACCUGGCAGAUGAAA
Long non-coding RNA from Passer domesticus (house sparrow), 543 nucleotides. RefSeq lists it as uncharacterized. NCBI's taxonomy places the organism in Eukaryota, Metazoa, Chordata, Aves, Passeriformes, Passeridae. The transcript is spliced from 5 exons. The record is from RefSeq and is a predicted model, not a curated record.